Molecule: ribosomal RNA, 480 nt
Filed under: uncultured bacterium
Lineage: Bacteria
Description: bacterial SSU rRNA
Rfam family: Bacterial small subunit ribosomal RNA
Source: RNAcentral
UUGAACGCUGGCGGAAUGCUUUACACAUGCAAGUCGAGCGGCAGCGCGGGGCAACCUGGCGGCGAGCGGCGAACGGGUGAGUAAUAUAUCGGAACGUACCCUGUCGUGGGGGAUAACACAUCGAAAGAUGUGCUAAUACCGCAUACGACCUGAGGGUGAAAGCGGGGGAUCGCAAGACCUCGCGCGAUAGGAGCGGCCGAUAUCGGAUUAGCUAGUUGGUGAGGUAAAGGCUCACCAAGGCGACGAUCCGUAGCUGGUCUGAGAGGAUGAUCAGCCACACUGGGACUGAGACACGGCCCAGACUCCUACGGGAGGCAGCAGUGGGGAAUUUUGGACAAUGGGCGCAAGCCUGAUCCAGCCAUUCCGCGUGAGUGAAGAAGGCCUUCGGGUUGUAAAGCUCUUUCGGCAGGAACGAAACGGUGGGAUCUAAUACAUACCACUAAUGACGGUACCUGAAGAAGAAGCACCGGCUAACUACGU